GAUUGAGCUUCUAUUGCUAAUAAUAGCUGUCUUGUAUUGAGUCCUCAUUCUACGCCAAGCUCUUACAGAACACAUUCCAGAUCUUAUCUCAUUUGAUCCUGGCAACAGUGGUAUAAAGAAAGUUCUAGUAUGAUUCCCAUUCUGUAUUUAAAUAAAUUUAGUUGUAAACAAAUUAAGAAUUUUGUGCAAGAUCUCACAGUGAAUGACAGAAGAAUAAGGACUUGACCAGAUGCCACCUGCCUUUAAUGACUGACCUCACUAUAUUAAAUUGCUCUCAUGGGCUUAAGGAGAAGUUUUGAGCAGGCUUCUUUCUUGAGAGACCUCUGAGAGUAUAUGACCAGUUGCUUUGAAAUUGAACUCAAUGGCCCUUAGAUUCAUUGAAACCUUAAAGGAGGGAGAACCUGUAAUAACUCUUGUGAUGUUUCAAAGGAAAUGAAGAGUUUCUAUUUUGAAAUAGGACUACAGAUACAUCUUUAUGACAGAAUCUUUUAUUCUAGAAAAAUCGCUCAAAUGAACCAUAUAAUGAGAUAAAAAAAAGUAGAUUCUACCAUCAGUGAAGUUAUUCUGGACUCUUCAGUCGUAAAAAAAUGUUCUGUGUAAUAAUGGAAAAUAUGGUCAAUAUCAUACUUCUUUGCAGACUGACAUUUCUGGGGUUUUUGUUGUUGUUGUUAAUAGGAUAAAACUUGACUGUUCCAGGAAACAACAGCUUGUCCUGUGGAGAAUUCGGAGCACUCACCAAUGGAAAAUUAGAGGCUGCAUACCAAAAGUCAAAGAAGCUGUUUUCCAGAGUCCUUCUGGGACCCUGGGUAUAAGCCGUGGUGAGCUUGGUGGCAAAGGUGAUUUAUGGAGCUGGAAAACCAAUAGCUGGGAAGGCAAAAGCACAAAUCCCUUGAAAUGGGCUGAAUUGUGUCCCUGAGAAUUCAUCACCUGGAACCUCAGAGCUUGACCUUUUUUGGAAAUGAGAAGGCUUUGUGAAGACCUACUGGCAGGAAGUCCAUGUGAACAUGGAGGCACAGAUUGGAGGGAGAUGUAUAUAAGACAGGGAAUACAAGCAACCACGACAUUCAAGGACAGAGAACCACAUUGGCUCUCUGAGGUAUCCAUUUCAGCAGGGAUAAGUUUCUGGCAGAGGAAGAAGCAACAAUAAUGCCCAGCAGAAGUGCCAGCAGCAGCAGUAGACAUUGGUAAAAGGGAUGCCAAUGUCUGAUGGAGACGGUUCAGCCAUGGGGAACAGAGUGUAAGUCAAAGCAUCUUCCUACAGUUUUCAAACAGAGUGGUCUUGACAGCAGACAUCCCUGGGAGAAGCUGAAUAUGGAGAUGAAAAAGAGGGCAGAAUCCGUGUGGCUGGUUACAGGCUUUAUCUAUGAGUAUAUAAAGCAGCCUUUGGGAAUAUAGGAUGUUUUAGGGUACUUUAACAGGGACUGACGUUUCACUGAUAACAAAAUGAGGGGACAGGUGUAUAAAUGGGCUAUUAUGAUGUGACUUAGGACAACAACUUUGUAUGAUUACUCUGGAUGAUGCUUUCUAGAGUUGUGUUCUAGGGGGAUUAUUCUGCAGAAUUCUACAUUGUACCAUAGUCUACAUUCAUACUGUAUUCUACAGAUAUGGUUCUGCCUGGAACAGCGCAACUGCUCAUGUACAUGAAAUAUAAACCAAUUUUGAGUCCUAA
This is a long non-coding RNA of Felis catus (domestic cat), 1669 nucleotides long. RefSeq lists it as uncharacterized. NCBI's taxonomy places the organism in Eukaryota, Metazoa, Chordata, Mammalia, Carnivora, Felidae. The record is from RefSeq and is a predicted model, not a curated record. The transcript has 3 exons.